Molecule: ribosomal RNA, 464 nt
Filed under: uncultured bacterium
Lineage: Bacteria
Description: partial 16S ribosomal RNA
Rfam family: Bacterial small subunit ribosomal RNA
Source: RNAcentral
AACGAACGCUGGCGGCAUGCUUAACACAUGCAAGUUGAACGCGGAAUAGGGCUUCGGCUCUAUUGCUGAGUAGCAAACGGGUGAGUAACGCGUGGGAAUCUACCUUCUUGUGGGGGAUAACUAAGGGAAACUUUAGCUAAUACCGCAUACGCUCUACGGAGGAAAGGCUUCGGCCGCAAGAAGAGGAGCCCGCGUCAGAUUAGGUAGUUGGUGGGGUAAAAGCCUACCAAGCCAAUGAUCUGUAGCUGGUCUGAGAGGAUGAUCAGCCACACUGGGACUGAGACACGGCCCAGACUCCUACGGGAGGCAGCAGUGGGGAAUAUUGGACAAUGGGGGAAACCCUGAUCCAGCAAUGCCGCGUGAAUGAAGAAGGCCUUAGGGUUGUAAAGUUCUUUCACCUGUGAAGAUAAUGACGGUAGCAGGAGAAGAAGCCCCGGCUAACUCCGUGCCAGCCGCCGCGGUAA